UACGUAGGUGGCAAGCGUUAUCCGGAUUUAUUGGGCGUAAAGGGAACGCAGGCGGUCUUUUAAGUCUGAUGUGAAAGCCUUCGGCUUAACCGGAGUAGUGCAUUGGAAACUGGGAGACUUGUGUGCAGAAGAGGAGAGUGGAACUCCAUGUGUAGCGGUGAAAUGCGUAGAUAUAUGGAAGAACACCAGUGGCGAAAGCGGCUCUCUGGUCUGUAACUGACGCUGAGGUACGAAAGCGUGGGUAGCAAACAGG
This 253-nucleotide ribosomal RNA is filed under the name uncultured bacterium. Its description in RNAcentral is "partial 16S ribosomal RNA". It matches the Rfam family "Bacterial small subunit ribosomal RNA", at positions 524 to 776 of the family's 1533-position model. The record is from RNAcentral.